CCAAUAAUACAAUUCGUUUACAGUUUCAAAGUACUACAUCCCCAAAAUAUAUACCAAACUAUCCAUAUAUACAUCUCAAAUUCACUUUUCAAUAUAAAUUACUACUAUAUUGAAUUGUGAAUUUGAUUACAUCCACAAAAUAAACCAAACUAUCCAUAAAAUUAAGCUAGUACUGAGACCUGAGUAUAGUACUUUGGUAAGAUCUGAGUACAGUACUCUUGGCCAUCACUGUCAUUGUCACUCUUGGCC
Molecule: long non-coding RNA, 249 nt
Filed under: Panax ginseng (ginseng)
Lineage: Eukaryota; Viridiplantae; Streptophyta; Magnoliopsida; Apiales; Araliaceae
Description: long non-coding RNA (PGIN_LNC001941)
Source: RNAcentral